CUCAGGAUGAACGCUGGCGGCGUGCUUAACGCAUGCAAGUCGAACGGACGCUUUGGGCAACUGAAGCGUUAGUGGCAAACGGGUGCGUAACACGUGGGUGACCUACCCCGGAGUGGGGAACAACGGACCGAAAGGUUCGCUAAUACCGCAUAUGCUCGGUGAUUCAAUUUGUCGAGUAAAGCCGAAAGGCGCUUUGGGAGGGGCCCGCGGCCCAUCAGGUAGUUGGUGAGGUAAUGGCCCACCAAGCCGAUGACGGGUAGCUGGUCUGAGAGGACGAUCAGCCACACUGGCACUGAGAUACGGGCCAGACUCCUACGGGAGGCAGCAGUGAGGAAUAUUGCGCAAUGGGGGAAACCCUGACGCAGCGACGCCGCGUGGGCGACGAAGGCCUUCGGGUCGUAAAGCCCUUUUGGCAGGGACGAGUGAGGACGGUACCUGUCGAAUAAGUCUCGGCUAACUACGUGCCAGCAGCCGCGGUAAAACGUAGGAGGCGAGCGUUAUCCGGAUUCACUGGGCGUAAAGCGCGCGUAGGCGGUUGGGUAAGUCGGACGUGAAAGCCCCUGGCUCAACUGGGGGAGGCCGUUCGAUACUGCUCGGCUUGAGGAUGAGAGAGGGAAGUGGAAUUCCCGGUGUAGCGGUGGAAUGCGUAGAGAUCGGGAGGAACACCAGUGGCGAAAGCGGCUUCCUGGCUCAUCCCUGACGCUGAUAGCGCGAAAGCGUGGGGAGCAAACGGGAUUAGAUACCCCGGUAGUCCACGCUCUAAACGAUGAGGGCUAGGUGUUGGUGGGAUUUCCCAUCUGUGCCGAAGCUAACGCGUUAAGCCCUCCGCCUGGGGACUACGAACGCAGUUUAAACUCAAAG
This 861-nucleotide ribosomal RNA is filed under the name uncultured bacterium. RNAcentral's name for it is "bacterial SSU rRNA". It matches the Rfam family "Bacterial small subunit ribosomal RNA", at positions 23 to 906 of the family's 1533-position model. The record is from RNAcentral.